UUGAUAAACUCUCAUAUAAUAAUAAAUUAAAAUUUAAUUUUGGUGCAAUAAACUUUGUGAUGCCUUGGCUCAUAGGCAGAUUAUAGAGGCAGAUUAAAACAUAUAGAUAGUAUUAAAUUCAAAAUUGGAAUUUCAGCCUAAUAAAUUUUCUCAUGGCUUGGCCCCUUAACAUAUUUUAUAGACAGAUUAAAAUUUUUUUAUAACAUUUAAAAUUUUAAAUAAAUGAAUAAAAACUCAACUCGGCUCCUAAUAUUUUUUAGCUAGAUCAUUUCAUAAAAAAAUAUAGUUCUUUCUAGUUUCUAUAUAUACAUAGACUCAAAUAUUUUGUUUUUGUACAAAAAAACUUCAUUUAAAUUUAGAAACCAUGAGUUUCUCUCCUAGUAAAUUCUACAUUUUCUUCAUGUUCCUUUGGCUUGCAACUCUCCUAGUUUCAACAUGUGAGGUGGAAACAAAAAUUUGUAAAAUAGAGUAUAAUACAGUAACGACUCAUGGUUGUGAUAAGAAAGAAUGUAAUGUAGAUUGCGUCGAGAGGGAGGGUGCAGCUUAUGGUCAUUGUGUGCCUGCAGGCAUAAUUAUUUCAUUUUGCUUCUGCUACUACAAAUGUUGAGCAAUAUAUUUUUUUUAUCAAGAAAUUUUCACCUUUGGGAAAAGCCUAUUAUUGUGUUGUAUCAUUAUAUGUUUAUAAUGGAUUGAUUGUAUGAAAUGGAAUUGGAAAAA
This is a long non-coding RNA of Vicia villosa (hairy vetch), 717 nucleotides long. RefSeq lists it as uncharacterized. The record is from RefSeq and is a predicted model, not a curated record. Lineage: Eukaryota; Viridiplantae; Streptophyta; Magnoliopsida; Fabales; Fabaceae. The transcript is spliced from 2 exons.